UUGAUGGGGCUCAGGUGGAGAUUGUUCACACGCCAGCAGGUAGCAAAGGUCAGCUGAGGCUUUGCUUCCUGCUUCCCUUGGCUAGCUCAGUCCAGCCAUGGGAUGGAGAAGGGUCGGGGACUUUCUGAAACUGUGUGCUCUGAGGCACACCCUCCUCUGCGGGACACCACCCUCCCAACCCACCUACUUCUGUACCCCUGGACUCCAGACGGUGAAGGAGCCAGCUGGCACCUCCAGCAGACAAAGGCUCCCGCUCAGCCUGGCUUGCCCGACCCUUCCAGGCGCUGGACUUCGAGGCCCUGAUUUGCCGCCUGGUGCUGGUAAGGAACACGGAACUAAGAAGCCACCACCCAGCGGAAGAGUUUGGUAAAGGUCAAAAGGAGACACCACGUGUCAGACCACUUCCCAGAAUCCUUCUCACUGGCAUCCAUCUUGGCUGAGCAAUGCGUGCACCACCAGGAAGGACUCUGAGUCAGAAUCAUCUGUCAGAGACAACCCGGAAACUAAUCCCAUCACCACAAAACCUGAGAUUGGGAGCCACAUAGCAGAGCAGUUCUCCCCGGUUCUCUUACCCCACUGCUCUCCACCAGGGUGCCCCUUCACAAUAAAAUCCCUUGCUUUGUCUGCA
Bubalus bubalis (water buffalo) is the source of this 628-nucleotide long non-coding RNA. RefSeq lists it as uncharacterized. The transcript is spliced from 3 exons. The record is from RefSeq and is a predicted model, not a curated record. Lineage: Eukaryota; Metazoa; Chordata; Mammalia; Artiodactyla; Bovidae.